This is a long non-coding RNA of Cryptotermes secundus, 772 nucleotides long. RefSeq lists it as uncharacterized. The transcript is spliced from 3 exons. The record is from RefSeq and is a predicted model, not a curated record. NCBI's taxonomy places the organism in Eukaryota, Metazoa, Arthropoda, Insecta, Blattodea, Kalotermitidae.
GCCGGUAACAUAGGGAUCAUCGUUCUUUACAUUCAAGUCAGUGCUCGUGUGAAUGGUGUGCAAAUUACGCGUGCUGACUGUUUCGUUUGGGGAAGAGAAAAGUGUGGUAAUAAUGUAAUACUUUUUUUACAUGUUAAACGUAGGAACAUAUUUGAUGGAAAAAGGCUGUAGACUAAAAAUUCCAAGUCCGGUGUUUGACAAUAACGGCAAGAUUCUAACCGAUUUUACCUUUUCUGCAAGGAGCGUCAUAUCGGUAUUAUUGUGCGGAAGAGGAAGUGAAUAAUGUAGCGAUUGGAAUGAGUUUCUGGGAACUCCAGUGGUGUCACCAUUUGACAGCCCAGUUAAGAGGGUUGUGUACACGGGAUACACAUGAAGCAUAUACAAGACUACAGCUCAGUAAUGGUGUUUGCAUCAGUGAGCAUGGAAAUUAAAUCGCCACGUGGAAAUGGUCCAAACCAUUUCUGGAUGCAUGGCCAGAUUUGUCUCUUGAUGUCAAAUAAGCCAGAAUAUGGACAGCUGCUGAGGAAACAGCAGAACCGCUUGAAAGCCAGCAGACCGAGGGUGUAGACCGCAGUACUGCAGCGGUUAGACAAGAUGCUGCAAUAAGGUUAGAAGAUUAAGCUGAUUGUGCAAGAAAGUUGUUAAGCUAUAAGGGAGCAAGGACGAGGACCAGGACUAUGGAAGAACCAUUAGGAAACUGUAACGCUAUAACCACGAUGUGAAAUUUGGACAACGAGCAAAUAUUGGGGGGGGGAUGUAAGAUGAAGGAAAA